GCCCUCAUAGCUCAGUCGGCAGAGCACACCCUUGGUAAGGGUGAGGUCACGGGUUCGAAUCUCGUUGAGGGCUC
This 74-nucleotide transfer RNA is filed under the name Anaerolineales bacterium. RNAcentral's name for it is "tRNA-Thr". It matches the Rfam family "tRNA". Rfam says of the family: Transfer RNA (tRNA) molecules are approximately 80 nucleotides in length. Their secondary structure includes four short double-helical elements and three loops (D, anti-codon, and T loops). The record is from RNAcentral. Lineage: Bacteria; Bacillati; Chloroflexota; Anaerolineae; Anaerolineales.